Molecule: RNA transcript, 3244 nt
Organism: Oryzias latipes (Japanese medaka)
Lineage: Eukaryota; Metazoa; Chordata; Actinopteri; Beloniformes; Adrianichthyidae
Gene: pcare2
Gene name: photoreceptor cilium actin regulator 2
Source: RefSeq, a predicted model, not a curated record
CUGUGUGUUAAUGCACUUACUGUGACCAUCUGCCACUCUGCCUCCCACUCACUUAACCGUCUUAUCCACUGCUCUCCUUCACCAACGCUGUCAGUUGUUUUGCUCCUCGGGUCUGUUGGUUUUCUGCUGAACUGCUGGGCAUAAUCUGGAUGAAAACGAACUAGAUCUGAGCUGGGAGCUGUGCAUGGAGACUGGACUGCAGACGAAACAUUGGAGGAUUAUAGAGGGAGUUUUUAGCACGCCAACUUUCACUAUUUUUUUAGAACAUAUUUUUGAAGAACUUUUAAAGUAGAAACAUGGGCUGCUCUCCUUCAAAGGGCAAGUUGUUUUCAAAAACAGACAAGCAGGGACCCCAGGAAGAUCUGCCAAUUGAUGCGCCACAGGAUCUGUUGGAAUCUAGGCCUGCAGAGGAACAGGAACCUUGUUUGAUAAAGACUGAAGAGACAGAAAAGGAACUUCCCGUUCUUGAUGAAGAUGCUCACUCCCGAGAGAUGACCACUAACACAGCUGUGGAAAACACAGGGGAUGUUAGUGACGCACAGGUGGAUCUAAAGCCUCAGGAAACCCCAGCUGAGGUCAUACAGGCCGAUAACAUCAGGAACAUCGAGAAACAAAAGAAGAAAAAAAGCAAACGAUUUUCUGAGAAGCAAAGGAAGUCUUCUGCUCUCCACAGAAAGGUGGAUUUCCCAUCCCAUAUGGUGAGGGCUCACCAGGCUGCUUACUCUUUUCUGAACCCUAACAUCUCCAAAUAUGAAACCCUUCUUGGCCUGUUGGACCAAGCUGCCCAGACACAACUGUCCCUGCAGCCCAUGAUGUCUGCCUUGGUGUUACGCUUUGAGGAGAUAAACCAGGCCCUGGAGGAGAUGGCUGAGGAAGGGGAGCUGAUGAUAAAAGAGCAUGGAGACUGCAUGGCUUUGCCCUCUGGGAUGAAGGGCCAAGCUGUAAGUUUAGCUGGCUCUGACUCAACAAUACCCCUUGAUCUACAUCCAGAUCUUUUACAACAGAUGCUCCACCAGUCGGCAGAAAAGAUGAGGCUGGUUGGCGGCUCCGUCCAGGCACUGGGUGAUACAACACUGGAGGAGGCUGUGGAGUAUUUUUCUUCCCUCUCCAAACUCCUUCUUCAAAAGCUGUUGGCCAAGCAAACGGCAGAGCGUAGGUUGGCUCAAGUACUUGCACGAGUGGAAGGGGCUGCCUUGAGAAAGUCCAACCCAGAAGAUUGUGCCCUGCAAAGCGAGGACAGUGGGAUUGGGGGAGAAAACGAGAGCUUGACUGGGUCAGAAAGACACCGCCGCCACCGUGGAAGCUGUGGAUCUGGAAGCUGUGGAUCUGGAAGCAACAUUCGGAGUGUCCUUGACAAUAUCUCAUGUAGUUUAUCCAACCAAGGGGGCAACAUUGAUGAUGAAGAUGAGGAUGAUGAGGAUGAGUUUGAAGAUGAUGAAAAUGAUAGGCCUGAGAGGAAAAGAUCCAACUCCUCCCCACCAGAUCCCUGUCAAGCUCUUCGCUAUGUGUAUGCCAACUCCAUGAGAGAUCUUCAGCCAGCAGGUACAAGUUCUCUGACUGCAGCCAAGUCUGAACAGUCUUCAUCCACCAGCUCUGAAAAUGCUACACCAGAGCUACAAACAAGCCUGGGAGACUCGGAUGAGAAAAUAAAAGAGACAUCUGGAACACAAGUGAGGAAAAUCUCAGCAGGGCCUUCCUGUAACUUGACUAGAUCCAGAUUUAGGCGACAUUCCAUAAAUGGACCAGGUGGAAAAAGCCCAGUGAAAAGCUCACACUGCUCCUUGGCAGUACUGGGAACCCAACCUCCAAGACGCCCAUGUGUCCGAAGACUAAUAAACACUUUUAGUCAAGGGGUUGAUGGGAGACCAGGACAGAGUUUGGCUAACAUUCCUCCUCACAUACGAAGGCCCAAUAAAAGUCGCUUUCUUCAAUUGUCUGAUGCACUCAACAGUAACGAGGGUGGGGUAAACACCAACAGCAGCAGCUGGCCUGACAGCAGGGAUGAUCUAGACGUGGACAAUCUUCCUCCUCCUCCUCCAGAGGUUCUUAUGGACAACUCCUUCCAGAGCACCACAGGCCGACCGAGAAAUGAGCAGGCACAAGAAAGUUCAGUCCGGAUUCUACCGGUGAUAAACCAGAAGUCUGGAACAUCCCAACGCCUGAAGAUACAUAUGCAGAAUGUGGAGGUGUUGCCAAACAAAGUAAAUGUCAGGUCAGAAUCAGAACCAGGAAAUUCAAAGAUUGUGUGUGAUUCCCCAGAGACUCCUGAAAAGAUGGCUGAACCAAACUGCAUGGAGCCUUCAACUCUUCAGGCUCGAUUGGACCUGAAACGUGAAAGCAACGAGUCCACAGAAUCUGAUCUGUCUUCUUCCAAUUUGCCUGUGAGAGCACCCCCAGUCUCCAGGGUCCGCCUACCCCCAUCAUGUCCUUCAGUGCCGCACAGGUUUCCAAGUCCACCUGUGUACAGAUCACAGUCCAGCUCCAGGGCUUCAUCUCGGCCUGCUUCCCCCCGAACAGUGAUCCGGGCAGUCGAUAAAACCACUGAGGAUAUCAUACCUUCAGUAUCUUUUCGAGAUGCUCGCUUGGUUUUCUGCCGAAAUGAGCAGCUGAACUCACAGCCAUGCGUCCCCUUUGGGAGUUCUGUUCUUCCCAGACAAUGGGGGGAGUCCUCUCGAGGCAGAAUACCAACCAGAGGGGCACCAGACACUCCAACCCGUCGCACUCAGUCCGAACAGCGGCCAAGAUGGUAAUUUGAUCUCAAGAGGAAUGAACCUCUUAUCACAAAAGGGGUGAGAAGAACCACCUGAAAAAGCCAGGCGGCCCUCCGACUGCAGAAGAAAGCAACCGGUUGGAUGGAAGUUCUGCUAUGAGGACAUCCACCGGGCUGGUAUUGGCUGUGGCUGAAAGAGAAGCGUGAGGGAAAGGAGUAAGAAAGAGGAUUAGAGGUUUAUCCACUUUCCCCUUUAAGAUAAAAGUCUUUCAUCCAAGGCCGUGUGUCUUAGUUUUGUUUUUUGUCGUGAUAAUACAGUAAAAUUGAUGAAAGUGAUUUCAUUUUAAUGCUACAAUCUGUUUAAACUUUGAUUACAGCUAACAAAUCAUCUAAUUUUCUUGUACAAUGAAUGUUAAACCCAAAGAUCUGGGAAUGUCUUCUGCUUAAAAUUGUUUGUGAUCAAUGUUUGUGAGUCUUUUUGCUUGCUUUGUUUUGAAUGUCUUUCUGUUUUUUAUGUCACUGUGGAAUUAAAUG